GAUGAACGCUGGCGGCGUGCCUAAUACAUGCAAGUCGAGCGAACGGACGAGAAGCUUGCUUCUCUGAUGUUAGCGGCGGCCGGGUGAGUAACACGUGGAUAACCUACCUAUAAGACUGGGAUAACUUCGGGAAACCGGAGCUAAUACCGGAUGAUAUUUUGAACCGCAUGGUUCAAAAGUGAAAGACGGUCUUGCUGUCACUUAUAGAUGGAUCCGCGCUGCAUUAGCUAGUUGGUAAGGUAACGGCUUACCAAGGCAACGAUGCAUAGCCGACCUGAGAGGGUGAUCGGCCACACUGGAACUGAGACACGGUCCAGACUCCUACGGGAGGCAGCAGUAGGGAAUCUUCCGCAAUGGGCGAAAGCCUGACGGAGCAACGCCGCGUGAGUGAUGAAGGUCUUCGGAUCGUAAAACUCUGUUAUUAGGGAAGAACAUAUGUGUAAGUAACUGUGCACAUCUUGACGGUACCUAAUCAGAAAGCCACGGCUAACUACGUG
Molecule: ribosomal RNA, 497 nt
Filed under: uncultured bacterium
Lineage: Bacteria
Description: partial 16S ribosomal RNA
Rfam family: Bacterial small subunit ribosomal RNA
Source: RNAcentral